Molecule: long non-coding RNA, 2298 nt
Filed under: Helianthus annuus (common sunflower)
Lineage: Eukaryota; Viridiplantae; Streptophyta; Magnoliopsida; Asterales; Asteraceae
Description: hypothetical non coding rna
Source: RNAcentral
UUUUUUUUUCUCGGGCCCACGCUUUUUUUGCGCCUAUCGCCUAGGCCCUAAUCGGUGCCUAUGCGCCUAGAGUGCGCUUCGCGCCUUUGGUAACUAUGCAAUAUAUUAUAUGUUUAGUUUAACCUGGUUAAUCAUUACAUUGUUCAACAACUUCUUGAUCCAUAUCCUUGUCAAAAACCGUACUGCAAACCAGUUCAUACAUAUAUGCACAUCCAACACGUAUGACAGUCAUACAAGCCGUAUGACGGGCUGAAAAAUAGCCAUACGGGUUGUAUUGUAAGAGAGCCAUAUCAUACUGCCUGUUUGACGUUUUGACUGACAAAGAAAUACAGCCCAUAUAACGUUUUGACUUGCAAAGAAUUCAGUGGCAGAACUAGCCCAAAAACUUAGGGGUAUCCCAAUUUUUUUUUUUUUUUUUAGACCAGGGGUAUCCUUUGUAUAACGGAGACGAAGAUGAGGGGUAUUUUACACAACGGAAACGGAGUUAAGGGGUAUUUUUACACUACGUAAAUGGGGUUGAGGGGUAGCCCGUGCUACCCCUACUAAAAGCAUUCACAUCCAUUCCAUCAUUUUUUCACCCUAAAUUACACUAAAAAACACUACAUCUCCUCUCUCAUUUUCAAUUAAAUAAUAUUCUUUUAUACCUUUAUCAUUACCUUUUCUCUCUCAUCCACUCACAACCACUUUCAAAAUAUAUUAAAAAAUUAUAGAGGGUGAACAGUGUCCCUUCAAAUAUACAGAUGAACAGUAACAUUUUCUCUCUCCUCCACUCACAACCACUUUUUAUACUCUUUAUAUUAUAAAAACUCCACUCACAGAUUUUAGUGGGUUGGAUGUGAAUGCUCUAACAUUCUAAGUCCGCCCCUGAAAGAAAUGACUGACUGCUUGUUUGACGUUUGACUGACAAAGAAAUACAGCCCGUAUAACGUUUUGACUUAUAAAGAAAUGACUGACUUAACCACUCACAAAGUCAUAACUCCCCGUAUGACCUUUUUCACCCUAUCAUACACCCCCUAUGAUCCCUACGACCACCUGUAUGGUGUGACAGUUGACCUGGUGUCUAAUGAUAAGAGGUUGUUUGUUUGGGAUAUGACUUUUAAAGUGAUUAUAUGAUUUGGUAUUAACAAACAAGUUAAAUAACUCUAAUGAAGCAAUACUAAACUUGAUUAAUCAGAUAACUUAAAUAACCAUACACAAACCCCUAAUUAGAAUUGUAACAUAUAAUAAAUCCCAUGAAACAGAAGCAAUUUCAAGUUAUGAUUGUAGAUGAUUACAUACCGGAUGCUCAGCACCGAUCGAGUGUUUGAUCGCCUGUCCAGUAGCUUUGUUCACCAAAGCAAAAGAGUGGAAACCCUCUUCGUCCUUCACUCUCGUGCUAUACUUCUCUUCCUUUAUCCAAUGCUGUGUAACAAUUCAAAAUUUUGGUCAAUCAAAUCAGAUGUAAUAAAAAGGUUUCCAAAAUUAUUUUUUUAACCGCAACCACACACCCUAAAAUCCAACUAUUACCCAUUUUGUACGACUUCGCUAGCCGCUAGUCGGUCGGUUAGGUACCGACUAGCGAUUAAUCGGAAUUAAUCGAAUUGAGAUUUUUAUAUGUAACUUUUAGUUAUCUAUAUACACACACAUUUUAAUGUGUAGUUUUUUUUUAAAAUAGACAUGUUUUAAACUCUUGUUGACCCACAUUUUUAAGUUAUUAACGGGAAUAAAUAGGGUUUGGUCGAAAUUUGGCAGAGUUCUGGCAAAAAAAAAAUUGGUUAGGAUAGGACUGCCAUUGACCGCCUGUAGGAGCAGACCUAUAGUGUUACAAGGGGUAACCUCCGUUGCCCUUUGACGCUCCGGUGACACUCAGACAAUAGUGUAAAUUUUGGGAAAAAAUGACGUUUUUUUUUUAUUUCGUUACCCCUAUCCGGAUUAGUCGGGAUUUUUACCACUGGCCGCCUGGCGACUAAUCGGAGAUUCAUCAGGAUUUUUACAACCAUGCUUGAAGCCACAUUACUUUGUAUCACUAGAAAAAAGGUUUUCCAAAAAUAGUUGUGAAUUAAAAGAAAUAAAUGAUACCAUACCUGAUGGUGAUCAGAAGGGUUGGUAGGUGCAAGAACAACUUUACCAUCACGGAUGGUGAAAUCUAACAGUUGGUUUAUUGUCGGUGUACUUUGGAGUGUGGUGGGUGGUGGUAUGGUGGACCGGAGGUGGUGAUGGUUGGUGGGAGACGUGGUGGACCACAACUGCAGGUUGUGGUGGCGGUGGUGAUGGUUGGUGGUGGUGGGGAGCGUUGUGGUGGUGGUGGUGGUGGCGAUC